AGACCCGAAACCCGGUGAUCUAGCCAUGGGCAGGUUGAAGGUUGGGUAACACUAACUGGAGGACCGAACCGACUAAUGUUGAAAAAUUAGCGGAUGACCUGUGGCUGGGGGUGAAAGGCCAAUCAAACCGGGAGAUAGCUGGUUCUCCCCGAAAGCUAUUUAGGUAGCGCCUCGUGAAUUCAUCUCCGGGGGUAGAGCACUGUUUCGGCUAGGGGGCCAUCCCGGCUUACCAACCCGAUGCAAACUGCGAAUACCGGAGAAUGUUAUCACGGGAGACACACGGCGGGUGCUAACGUCCGUCGUGAAGAGGGAAACAACCCAGACCGCCAGCUAAGGUCCCAAAGUCAUGGUUAAGUGGGAAACGAUGUGGGAAGGCCCAGACAGCCAGGAUGUUGGCUUAGAAGCAGCCAUCAUUUAAAGAAAGCGUAAUAGCUCACUGGUCGAGUCGGCCUGCGCGGAAGAUGUAACGGGGCUAAACCAUGCACCGAAGCUGCGGCAGCGAACGUAUCACUUAAAGCGAUUCAGCGGGUUACGAUUGACGGAGCGAAGCGACGUCAAAGCGUAUACAAAGUCGAGUCGGUUUAAGGAUACGUUCGUUGGGUAGGGGAGCGUUCUGUAAGCCUGUGAAGGUGGCCUGUGAGGGUUGCUGGAGGUAUCAGAAGUGCGAAUGCUGACAUAAGUAACGAUAAAGCGGGUGAAAAGCCCGCUCGCCGGAAGACCAAGGGUUCCUGUCCAACGUUAAUCGGGGCAGGGUGAGUCGACCCCUAAGGCGAGGCCGAAAGGCGUAGUCGAUGGGAAACGGGUUAAUAUUCCCGUACUUGGUGUUACUGCGAAGGGGGGACGGAGAAGGCUAUGUUGGCCGGGCGACGGUUGUCCCGGUUUAAGCGUGUAGGUGUGUGUUCCAGGUAAAUCCGGUUCACUUUAACACUGAGGCGUGA
This 938-nucleotide ribosomal RNA is filed under the name Salmonella enterica subsp. enterica serovar Anatum. RNAcentral's name for it is "partial 23S ribosomal RNA". It matches the Rfam family "Bacterial large subunit ribosomal RNA", at positions 711 to 1566 of the family's 2925-position model. RNAcentral also lists the same sequence under 3 other names. The record is from RNAcentral. Lineage: Bacteria; Pseudomonadati; Pseudomonadota; Gammaproteobacteria; Enterobacterales; Enterobacteriaceae.